UGGGGAAUUUUCCGCAAUGGGCGAAAGCCUGACGGAGCAAUGCGCGUGGAGGUGGAAGGCCUACGGGUCGUCAACUUCUUUUCUCGGAGAAGAAACAAUGACGGUAUCUGAGGAAUAAGCAUCGGCUAACUCUGUGCCAA
RNAcentral lists this ribosomal RNA (140 nucleotides) under uncultured bacterium. RNAcentral's name for it is "partial 16S rRNA". It matches the Rfam family "Bacterial small subunit ribosomal RNA", at positions 355 to 511 of the family's 1533-position model. The record is from RNAcentral.